CCACAUGGAUAAUUUACUGUAAGCCAACUAUUUGAAGCCAUAAGUGAAAGAUCUGAGUAACGAUUUGGUCAGCCUGUUUUUUACAGAUAAAUCCCAUUUUACAUGUUAAGACACUUCCAAAGCACUUUUAUAAUAAUGUCCACAUGGGGGGGCUGAUACCGUCUGGAACACAUUCGGCGUGGGAAUGAGUUACCCCCUCCUUCCCAUUGCUGGGAACAGUCAAAACUAGGCUGAACCACAAAGUGAAAGUAUUUUCUUAGCUCGUAAGAUUUGCCACGAGGACUGGACUAUAGGGAGAUUGGAAUCAAAUUGAGAAAGGCCUUAACAUGGCGUUGGUCUUCAGCUUGUCCACUCUCAUGUUUCUCCUCAUCACUGGGAUGGAGACAUCCAAAAGUCUAAGUCAGGGCCCAGAGUUGAAGCAGGUCGUCCAGGUGGACUCUGGGAAGGAUGCAGUCCUAGAGUGCUCUGUGAACAUCAGUGAGAAAUCCACUGGUAAUGUAAACAUAGAGAAGGUCGUGUGGUGGAGGCUGGACCAGAAUGGUCUUCACAAAGGUGGACCUGUGUUCAAAUGCAACAUAUUCAAUCAACAAUCCUCCAAUCCCAGGUUGCAGCUGAACCCAAAAUAUCAGCUUCCCAUGCCACCUGCCAAUGAGAAAGACAAAGUUGUGUCCCUGUUGGUCAAAGAAACCCAGCCUGAAGACGAGGGUCCGUAUGAGUGUGUGGUGAACACUGACAGUGGAAUCACACAUUGUAACUUCAUGCUGAAGGUCACAGUGUUACAGUACGAGCCCAGCACUGAAAAGGAGAUUCCAAAGAACAGUUACAUGAGUGUGGCUGCUGUAUGUGUGGUAGUAGGCUCUCUUGCCAUUGGACUGCUGCUUCUCAAGCUGUUUCAAGCCAGAAGACUCAGACAAGAGCCUCAGGAUACAGCAGUCCCAGCAGAGCACAACCCCAGCACCAGGACAGGACCGUUUCCGUAGCGACAGAUGUAUUAUCAGGGGUGCCAUGGGCUCUCUUCUCUGUCGAUGUCAUGUCUGCUCUGUCUCUCACGUCACAUCGCUAACUGAAUGUGAAUGCUUUGCCUGGAGGAGGGAGCAAUCUGGCUCAACACUAUUCUGUUCCCCCUCUGCAGGAGAAAUGGAGUGCACGCAUUGUCCUGCUACCAAGCUAAUUGUUAGCAGCAUUGUCUGUAGUUGUUAAUCACACCAGACUAUUCUUUCAUAAUUGUUUUAUAUAUUGUAACUAAAACCUGAUAUAAAACAAAUGCACAUAUUUAGUGGACAUUGAUUUGACAGUGAAGACACUAGUGUGAUACAGUAGCAGUGUGUGAAAUUGAUCUUGACAGAACACCUUUACUUUGUGCAUCACAAUUUGAAGAAGUCAUUUAUUCAGAAGCCAAUAUUGUGUUUUAGUUCAUUUGAGUUGACAAAUGCCAUGUUUUUUAUUGUUACAAAGUGGGAUUCAAAUGUAUUUAAUUGUCAUUUUUUUGUAAACAAUCUACAUAAAAUACUCUGUCAAAGUGGAAGAAAAAAUAACAUAAAAAUACUGUAGCGACCCAAACAGCUGUGUUAUGUAUUAUGCUGUUGGUGUUGUUGUACUUACCAGUACGCAGUGUUCGCGGGGUCCAACAUGCCAGUCAAUCUGCUAUCUGCCAACCACGGGAAUGCCUGGAAUGUUCUUGUGCCGGGCAUCCUGGUGGCUGGUGGAGCAGCAGGGGGGUGGAGCAUCGCAGGUUUAAGGCCAUGUUUAGCCAUUGUUCUCUCUUACUUCUGGUCUUCACAAGAGAUGGUCACGGUUGUUUAUAUGGAUAUCCUUCAUUUAUUUGGCGUGGGCUAUGGCCGAACAGUAGCCUGUGUGGAGUUGGGUUAAUAAACCGUGAAUUCGUCAACUCAACCCUCUGUCUGGACAAUUGUAUCUUUAUGAUCUAGCCAGGUCAUUACAAUACCUUUAAGUAUUCAAACCCCUGAGUCGAUACAUAGUAGAAACACCAGCUGUGGGUCUUCCUGGAUCACAGGAGCAGGGACACAUCCCAUCAAAGCUCGCAGGGACACAUCCCAUCAGAGCUCGCAGGGACCCAUCCUGUCAGAGCUCACAGGGACCCAUCCCAUCAGAGCUCAUAGGAGCAGGAACACGUCCCAUCAGAGCUCACAGGAGCAGGAACACUUCCCGUCAGAGCUCACAGGAGCAGGAACACGUCCCAUCAGAGCUCACAGGAGCAGGAACACGUCCCGUCAGAGCUCACAGGAGCAGGGACACAUCCCAUCAGAGCUCACAGGAGCAGGAACACGUCCCAUCAGAGCUCACAGGAGCAGGAACACGUUCCGUCAGAGCUCACAGGAGCAGGAACAAGUCCCAUCAGAGCUCACAGGAGCAGGAACACAUCCCGUCAGAGCUCACAGGAGCAGGAACACAUCCCAUCAGAGCUCACAGGAGCAGGAACACAUCCCAUCAGAGCUCACAGGAGCAGGAACACGUCCCAUCAGAGCUCAUAGGAGCAGGAACACGUCCCAUCAGAGCUCACAGGAGCAGGAACACAUCCCGUCAGAGCUCACAGGAGCAGGAACACGUCCCAUCAGAGCUCACAGGAGCAGGAACACAUCCCAUCAGAGCUCACAGGAGCAGGAACACGUCCCAUCAGAGCUCAUAGGAGCAGGAACACAUCCCGUCAGAGCUCACAGGAGCAGGAACACGUCCCAUCAGAGCUCACAGGAGCAGGAACACUUCCCAUCAGAGGUCACAGGAGCAGGAACACGUCCCAUCAGAGCUCACAGGAGCAGGAACACGUCCCAUCAGAGCUCACAGGAGCAGGGACAUGUCCCGUCAGUCAUGAAGCAUCUCACAAGGGUGAGAUUCAGGUCCUGCUGAACAACUUGCAGCAGGAGAUGAAGUACAUGCAGGGGUAGCUCAAUACCAGGAUAUCAUCCCUGCGCAGAGGGUGGGCAUCCCUACCACCCUCCCAACAGUCAGCGUCCCUGCGACCAAUGCAAUGCUCCAACACCAUCUCCAAUCACCACCAUGGUGGGACCAACGUGGAAUGAUGGAGUGAAUACCACAUGUGGAGAUUUCUACUGCAAGAGAAAGGAUACCUGGAGUAGAUGUGGUGCAUUGUUCCAUAAUGACCAUCACCGAGGCCAACCCUCAGAGCCAGACUGGCAGCCGGCCGGGGGCUGAGCCUGAGACACCUGCUGUAGCGCUUCAGAACAGUGGAUGAUGGAUCUUCAGGAGAGGGAAGUAGAUUCAUCUAUCUGAUGAGAAAGACCACUCCUUAAGGAACCUGUUUAAAUAUUCUUUGUAGACACAAAACUGACCCCAAGGCUGAGGUAUUCACUUUAAAUCAUGUCAGUUAAAAAUAGCGCCUGAUCAUUGUAUUUUAACUGUGAGAAUGGUACUAAUCAUUUGGAGAAUUUGUUGAUGUGGUUUACAGAACAAGCCUGUACCACCACCUCCCCCGAUGGGAAUGUAUCUGGGGAACUCUGGUCUUCCCAAAGGGGGGAAUCCUUACUUCAGGAAAGCAGUCUAACAGCAGGUCUAUGGGAAAAAUAUCCCAGGAUGCUCUACUCUGAUGGGACCACCUCAACACCAUCAAGCCAGCUCCGUUGACAGUUCCCUGCCCAACACUCCACCUUCGUGGCACAGAUGACAGAAACUUGCCCCUGGAACUCUACCCUACUUUGGCCAUUUGCCCAGAGGGACCAUAUCCAUUU
Molecule: non-coding RNA, 3704 nt
Organism: Oncorhynchus mykiss (rainbow trout)
Lineage: Eukaryota; Metazoa; Chordata; Actinopteri; Salmoniformes; Salmonidae
Source: RefSeq, a predicted model, not a curated record